GUCCAGUUCCUUGUUCAAAAUGCCAAGAACCUGGAUGACUCAUAGUCAAGACCCUCCACCAGUAACAUAUAUUGGCGAGCCAGCCAGGAGACCACUACAGGAAACACUCCAUUUAUUCCACCUGACUUCCCACUUGGCUGCAUCCUCAACCAUUGAAAUGAAUUUGACCCUGAUAAUCUAAGGAGGAAACAUUUGAUAUUCUUUUGCAAUAAUACUUGGCCCCAGUAUUGUUUGGAAUCUGGAGUUUGCUGUUGAAUGGGAAAGCAGGAUGACGUUGCAUGUAUCCAGGCUUUGGUGCUGCUGUCCUAAGAAGGGUCAGGCCUAGUCAGCAUAUGGUGCUCUCCUUUGGUGCUAUUUGGCUCCAGUGUCUUUGGAGUCUGAGGAGGUUUGGCCUUUAAAAAUCAAACUGCCACCGGAACUGCUUUAAAAAUGUUUGGUUCACAGCCUUCACUGGAUUACCUAUUGGAGCAAACAAAGUGUAACCAUGUAAAACCUGUGAGCUUGUAUUGAUAUCUCAUGGCUAGAGUUCCAAGGUAAAAGCUAUUGGAUCUUCGUUUGUGUGUGUGUAUACAUGUCUAGAUGUGUUUAUUUGUAUGUACACUUAUUGUUAUAUGUUGUGUCAACCAAAUCAGCUUAUAAAUAAAAAAGCACUCAUAAAUUAAAUAAAUAAGUCCAAGCAAUUUUCAAGUUCAUGUGACUUAAGUAAAUCUUCAUUAAAUAGCUGGCUUUAAAAUUAUUGGUAAAAUGAAAAUAGAAAUAUCUUCAGAAUUGUCAGCAUACAUUUUUGUCUGGGUUUUAUAUUUGUCUUUGCUAGAAAUGUUGAAGUGUCAGCAUUUGGCAUAGAAGAUUAUAAAGCUAUUAACCCAGCCAAAACAAAAUGGCCUUAGUUUAUGUGGCUUCUUUGACAAAUGAGACUAAUUUAAUAUUGUUAGCUAAAUCUUCUGGGUUAUUGGCAAAAACACCUAUGUAUUUAACUGUGAGGUUCUUAUUUAGGUGAACACAUAAUGUUCAUUGGCUAUUAAAAAUGGUUAACAAAUAAAUAACUAACUUUAAAUGAUGGUGUCUAAUAUCUCAGUUUUCAGAAGUAAUCUAGAUAAACUGUUAAAAAUGAAAGACUUAAGUACAUGUAAAUGGGAUGAAUGAUUAGGUAAAUUUUGUGUAAUUUAAAAUCUUAAAAGUAUUUUUGAUGCCCAUUGGAUAUCUCAGUCAUUUCCAAUUAAGAAAGGGUUAUGAUAGGGAGGAAUAUGUUUCCAAAAAUUGUGGAAUUAUUCUCAUCUAUAAAAUGCUAAUAUCUGAUAGUUUAGGAUUUUUUGCUUCCUAAGGUUUCACUAAAAUUUAAGGUUACUAAGAUGAUAUGGUUUGGCUUUGCAUCCCCACCCAAAUCUCUUCUUAUAACUCCCAUAAUUACCGUGUGUUGUGGGGAGGGAUCCAGUGGGUGAGAGAUGAUUGAAUUAUGCUGUUCUCAUGAUAGCGAAUGGGUCUCAUGAGAUCUGAUGGUUUUGAAAAUGGGAGUUGCCCUGCACAAGCUCUCCUUUUGCCUGCUGCCAUCCACAUAAGAUGUGAUUUGCUCUUCCUUGCCUUCCACCAUGAUUGUGAGGCCUUCCCAGCAUGUGGAAAUGUAAGUCCAAUAAACCUCUUUCUUUUGUAAAUUGCCC
RNAcentral lists this long non-coding RNA (1655 nucleotides) under Homo sapiens (human). RNAcentral's name for it is "non-protein coding lnc-GGCT-1:52". Lineage: Eukaryota; Metazoa; Chordata; Mammalia; Primates; Hominidae. The record is from RNAcentral.